This 435-nucleotide ribosomal RNA is filed under the name uncultured bacterium. Its description in RNAcentral is "partial 16S ribosomal RNA". It matches the Rfam family "Bacterial small subunit ribosomal RNA", at positions 29 to 507 of the family's 1533-position model. The record is from RNAcentral.
AGCGAACGCUGGCGGCAGGCUUAACACAUGCAAGUCGAACGGGCAUCUUCGGAUGUCAGUGGCAGACGGAUGAGUAACACGUGGGAACGUACCCUUCGGUUCGGAAUAACUCAGGGAAACUUGAGCUAAUACCGGAUACGCCCUUUUGGGGAAAGGUUUACUGCCGAAGGAUCGGCCCGCGUCUGAUUAGCUUGUUGGUGGGGUAACGGCCUACCAAGGCGACGAUCAGUAGCUGGUCUGAGAGGAUGAUCAGCCACACUGGGACUGAGACACGGCCCAGACUCCUACGGGAGGCAGCAGUGGGGAAUAUUGGACAAUGGGCGCAAGCCUGAUCCAGCCAUGCCGCGUGAGUGAUGAAGGCCUUAGGGUUGUAAAGCUCUUUUGUCCGGGACGAUAAUGACGGUACCGGAAGAAUAAGCCCCGGCUAACUUCGUG